GCGGUAUGCCUAACACAUGCAAGUCGUACGAGAGUUUUUAACUCAAGUGGCGGACGGGUGAGUAACACGUGAGAAUUUGCCUUUAGGAGGGGGACAACAGCUGGAAACGGCUGCUAAUACCCCAUAUGCUUCCGAGUGAAAUGAAUUUAUUCGCCUAAAGAGAAGCUCGCGGCUGAUUAGCUUGUUGGUAGGGUAAGAGCCUACCAAGGCGACGAUCAGUAUCUGGUUUGAGAGGACGAUCAGACACACUGGANCUGAGACACGGUCCAGACUCCUACGGGAGGCAGCAGUGGGGAAUUUUCCGCAAUGGGCGAAAGCCUGACGGAGCAAUACCGCGUGAGGGAAGACGGCCUAUGGGUUGUAAACCUCUUUUUUCAGGGAGGAAUAAAUGACGUGUACCUGAAGAAUAAGCAUCGGCUAACUCCGUGCCAGCAGCCGCGGUAAGACGGAGGAUGCAAGUGUUAUCCGGAAUCACUGGGCGUAAAGCGUCUGUAGGUUGUUGAACAAGUCAACUGUUAAAUCUUGAGGCUCAACUUCAAAAUCGCAGUCGAAACUGUUUGACUAGAGUAUAGUAGGGGUAAAGGGAAUUUCCAGUGGAGCGGUGAAAUGCCGUAGAUAUUGGAAAGAACACCGAUGGCGAAGGCACUUUACUGGGCUAUUACUGACACUCAGAGACGAAAGCUAGGGUAGCAAAUGGGAUUAGAUACCCCAGUAGUCCUAGCCGUAAACAAUGGAUACUAGAUGUUGAACAGAUCGACCUGUGCAGUAUCAAAGCCCACGCGUUAAGUAUCCCGCCUGGGAAG
This 803-nucleotide ribosomal RNA is filed under the name uncultured eukaryote. RNAcentral's name for it is "bacterial SSU rRNA". It matches the Rfam family "Bacterial small subunit ribosomal RNA", at positions 39 to 880 of the family's 1533-position model. The record is from RNAcentral.